RNAcentral lists this ribosomal RNA (405 nucleotides) under uncultured bacterium. Its description in RNAcentral is "partial 16S ribosomal RNA". It matches the Rfam family "Bacterial small subunit ribosomal RNA", at positions 30 to 526 of the family's 1533-position model. The record is from RNAcentral.
AUUGAACGCUGGCGGCAGGCCUAACACAUGCAAGUCGAACGAGUGGCGGACGGGUGAGUAAUGUCUGGGAAACUGCCCGAUGGAGGGGGAUAACUACUGGAAACGGUAGCUAAUACCGCAUACCAUCGGAUGUGCCCAGAUGGGAUUAGCUAGUAGGUGGGGUAACGGCUCACCUAGGCGACGAUCCCUAGCUGGUCUGAGAGGAUGACCGGCCACACUGGACCUGAGACAGGUUCCAGACCCCUCGGGGGGGCAGCAGUGGGGAAUAUUGAACAAUGGGCGCAACCUUGAGGCAGCCAUGCCGCGGGUAGGAAGAAGGCUUUCGGGUUGUAAAGUACUUUCAGCGAGGAGGCGUUACUCGCAGAAGAAGCCCCGGCUAAUUCCGUGCCAGCAGCCGGGUAAUAC